RNAcentral lists this ribosomal RNA (398 nucleotides) under uncultured bacterium. RNAcentral describes it as "bacterial SSU rRNA". It matches the Rfam family "Bacterial small subunit ribosomal RNA", at positions 361 to 776 of the family's 1533-position model. The record is from RNAcentral.
AUUUUGCUCAAUGGGGGAAACCCUGAAGCAGCAACGCCGCGUGAGGGAUGAAGGCCUUCGGGUUGUAAACCUCUUUUCUCAGGGACGAUGAUGACGGUACCUGAGGAAUAAGCCACGGCUAACUACGUGCCAGCAGCCGCGGUAAUACGUAGGUGGCAAGCGUUGUCCGGAUUUACUGGGCGUAAAGAGCGCGCAGGCGGUCGUUUAAGUCGAAUGUGAAAGCCCCCGGCUCAACUGGGGAGGGUCAUUCGAUACUGAUCGACUUGAAGGCAGGAGAGGGAAGUGGAAUUCCGGGUGUAGUGGUGAAAUGCGUAGAUAUCCGGAGGAACACCAGUGGCGAAGGCGACUUCCUGGCCUGUUCUUGACGCUGAGGCGCGAAAGCUGGGGGAGCAAACGGG